This 209-nucleotide long non-coding RNA is filed under the name Elaeis guineensis (African oil palm). Its description in RNAcentral is "long non-coding RNA (EGUI_LNC021688)". The record is from RNAcentral. Lineage: Eukaryota; Viridiplantae; Streptophyta; Magnoliopsida; Arecales; Arecaceae.
UUGAAUCAAAUCUGAAAGAUUUUGAAUCCAAAGUUUCACAUAGGUCUGAAUCUACAAAUUCUCUACUUUGUGUGCACGUCAAACUUCUCAAGAAUGUGGGAUGAGCUUCGGAUUGAAGCACCUUCGCAAGACAACAAGGGAAGGGAGAGAGGCUCUGGUGUGAUACCUCACACCAGCAAGAGGGAUGCCCAAAAGGCCUUGAUGCCAUG